Long non-coding RNA from Rhinichthys klamathensis goyatoka, 770 nucleotides. RefSeq lists it as uncharacterized. Lineage: Eukaryota; Metazoa; Chordata; Actinopteri; Cypriniformes; Leuciscidae. The record is from RefSeq and is a predicted model, not a curated record. The transcript has 5 exons.
GGAAACGUCAUCAACUGAACUGACACACAGCAAAAGUAACUUCUCUCGCUGUUGUUUUCGCUGCUUUCAGAAAUGGGUUUGUGUCUUCGAAAAAGUCCGUUAGCAUCUCAACUGUUUUCAGAAGAGAAGAUCAUCAUCAUGCUGAUGGCCUGCUGCACCCUGUCCAAGAAAAUCUCCACGGCUAUGAACUCGACUAAUGAGAUAUAAUCGUUUGGCCCUGUGAUUCUUCAGGACAAGAUCUUGAUGCCAUCCACACUCAGUAGAUGAAGAAGCUCCUGCGUCCAUUUGGGCUGAAGGUCGAGACAGAACCAAACCAAAGCUGGACUGUAACCUACUGGCCAUAUGACAGACUUCACAAUGACACCUACUGGCAUGGAUGCGGCAUCACAUGUUUUUCAACAAAACCUUUUUCACCUAGAAUUUAAAGUGUGCAUUAUUCAUCCCCCAUGAGGAGACUCCAUGUCUUCAUCUCUUGUGAGUGGAUAUCAUUUAAAACAUUCUUAAAAGAACGGCUCAUUUCUUCUGAAUUUAUAGUAUUUAUUGUUCUUGUCAAGUAAUAUUGCUGUAAUCCUGUUAAUGUAUGUACAGUAUAAAUUGCAAACAUGCUUGUGUUGGACACGUGUUCACGGAUUACAGACAUUUUAGAGGAGGUAGAUGCUGUGUAUUUAAAGGUGCUCUAAGUCAUGUUUAUUUGUACAAUGUCAUUUUUGUAUAUACAUCAUUAUUACACUGGAACAAAUUACUAUUUCUUUAUUUGUAAAUUAGCAACU